UACGUAGGUGGCGAGCGUUAUCCGGAAUUACUGGGCGUAAAGCGCACGCAGGCGGUUUCUUAAGUUUGACGUGAAAACUCCUGGCUUAACUGGGAGAGGUCGUUGAAGACUGGGGAACUUGAGGCAAUGAGAGGGAUGUAGAAUUCACGGUGUAGUGGUGGAAUGCGUAGAUAUCGUGAGGAAGACCAGUGGCGAAAGCGACGUCCUGGCAUGAGCCUGGCGCUCAGGUGCGAAAGCGUGGGGAGCGAACGGG
Molecule: ribosomal RNA, 253 nt
Filed under: uncultured bacterium
Lineage: Bacteria
Description: partial 16S ribosomal RNA
Rfam family: Bacterial small subunit ribosomal RNA
Source: RNAcentral